UACGUAGGGGGCAAGCGUUGUCCGGAAUCAUUGGGCGUAAAGCGCGCGUAGGCGGCCCUGUAAGUCCGCUGUAAAAGUCAAAGGCUCAACCUUUGAAAGCCGGUGGAUACUGCAGGGCUAGAGUCCGGAAGAGGCGAGUGGAAUUCCUGGUGUAGCGGUGGAAUGCGCAGAUAUCAGGAAGAACACCCGUGGCGAAGGCGGCUCUCUGGGACGGUACUGACGCUGAGACGCGAAAGCGUGGGGAGCGAACAGG
RNAcentral lists this ribosomal RNA (253 nucleotides) under uncultured bacterium. RNAcentral describes it as "partial 16S ribosomal RNA". It matches the Rfam family "Bacterial small subunit ribosomal RNA", at positions 524 to 776 of the family's 1533-position model. The record is from RNAcentral.